This 507-nucleotide long non-coding RNA is filed under the name Heterocephalus glaber (naked mole-rat). Its description in RNAcentral is "lncRNA (ENSHGLG00000045946.1)". Lineage: Eukaryota; Metazoa; Chordata; Mammalia; Rodentia; Bathyergidae. The record is from RNAcentral.
CAGAGCUGUGGUGGGUAUGAGGUCAGCCUCCCUGCCGGCCCAGCCUGGUCUGGGGGCGCUGGCAGGCCUUGCCUGGGCUUCCCAAGGAGCCCCCCCGCAGUGCAGCCCAGCCAGCUUGGUUCCUUCUCAGACUUAUCUGGUGAACACAGUCACGUGAGCCUGGAGAAUUGGGGGCUCUGCAGAGGCCCCCCAGGGCCUUUUCCAGGCAAACCACAACAGUAAGGCAGAGAGGUGGUGUGAAUGCCUCCCUCCCGGAGUUGCCAUGAGGAUUUCAUGAAGCGAGUCAGAGGAAGCAGCUGGCUUUUUUCAUGGCAGCCACAGAAGAUUUCCCUCCAAGUGGUCACCGUCCUGGUCAUUUCCAAAGCAGCUGGUGCCAGAGAUGGUGGCAGACACAUGCAGGGACACCAGUGAGUCCAGGGGGCUGGGCUGGGACAGCCCUAGUUCUUCCCUCCUCCCGCCCCCUGUUCCCUUUCUUGGCCUUCUCCUUCUCUUCCCCCUUCUGCUCCC